GCAGAGCAUUUGCAGAGCGAGAGGGGAGCUUGGGCUCAGGUAGAUCUCAGAAACCCUGGCUGAAGUAGCUACGGUAAACUACUUUGAAAGAUGGAGAUGGGGCAGACAAUGACCUUGUCCUCCAGCAGGACACUGACCACCAGGAAGACGAUGUAGAGCAGGAACAUGAUGAAGCCCAGCAGUUUGCUCAUCCUCCACUUGCAGGCGGCGAUGGAGAUGAUGACGAAGAGGAGCAUGAGGAAGAGCAGCACAAUGGCGCAGAACAGCCCGUUACUGCUCACCUGCACCGGGACCAUCCCGUUCGCCAUCGAGAACAGCAGCCACGGGAACGUGUGCAGCUCCACUUGGAUGAUGUGACGGCAGCCACAGGACAGCCUCGCCAGUGCUUGACCACACACCAGAUGAUAGGGAGGCCAUGAUGGGUAAGGUUACACCCCUCAUCUUUACCAGAAGUGCCAUGGGAUUAUUUAUGACCACAGAGAGUCAGGACCACAGUUUAACAUCUCAUCCGAAAUGUAUAGACAGUAUACUGUCCCCUUGGCUACACAUUAGGACUCACACAGACCACAGGUUGAGCGCCCCCUGCUGGCCUCACUAACAGCAACCUAAUUUUCCUAUGUGGUCUCCCAUCCAGGUACUAACCCGACUCAGCCCUGCUUAGCUUCAUUGAGUAACCGCUCUUGGGCUGCAGGGUGAUCUGGCUGAGGCUGUCGUCAAUUUAAACAAUAUAUAAGGGCUAAAACAAUAUGUGAAGAUUACAUGAAGUUAAUUUGCCAUUUUAACUCAUUUCUUAAUAGGAUUUGUCUCUACACAGCAUUCACAUCCAGAGUAUUUGAAGUCAGAUUGAAGCUAGGAGUUCCCUAAAUAAUAACACACAAGUUCUCUAGUGAUUGUGACGU
This is a long non-coding RNA of Danio aesculapii, 899 nucleotides long. RefSeq lists it as uncharacterized. NCBI's taxonomy places the organism in Eukaryota, Metazoa, Chordata, Actinopteri, Cypriniformes, Danionidae. The transcript is spliced from 3 exons. The record is from RefSeq and is a predicted model, not a curated record.